This 406-nucleotide ribosomal RNA is filed under the name uncultured bacterium. RNAcentral's name for it is "partial 16S ribosomal RNA". It matches the Rfam family "Bacterial small subunit ribosomal RNA", at positions 30 to 526 of the family's 1533-position model. The record is from RNAcentral.
AUUGAACGCUGGCGGCAGGCCUAACACAUGCAAGUCGAACGAGUGGCGGACGGGUGAGUAAUGUCGGGGAAACUGCCUGAUGGAGGGGGAUAACUAAUGGAAACGGUAGCUAAUACCGCAUACCCUCAGAUGUUACCAGCUGGGAUUAGCUUGUUGGUGGGGUAACGGCUCACCAAGGCGACGAUCCCUAGGUGGUCUGAGAGGAUGACCAGCCACACUGGAACUGAGACACGGUCCAGACUCCUACGGGAUGCAGCAGUGGGGAAUAUUGCGCAAUGGGCGCAAGCCUGAUGCAGCCAUGCCGCGUGGAUGAAGAAGGCCUUCGGGUUGUAAAGUACUUUCAGCAGGGAGGCGUUACCCGCAGAAGAAGCACCGGCUAACUCCGUGCCAGCAGCCGCGGUAAUUC